RNAcentral lists this ribosomal RNA (512 nucleotides) under uncultured bacterium. RNAcentral describes it as "partial 16S ribosomal RNA". It matches the Rfam family "Bacterial small subunit ribosomal RNA", at positions 28 to 507 of the family's 1533-position model. The record is from RNAcentral.
GACGAACGCUGGCGGCGUGCCUAAUACAUGCAAGUCGAGCGAGCGGAACUAACAGAUUUACUUCGGUAAUGACGUUAGGAAAGCGAGCGGCGGAUGGGUGAGUAACACGUGGGGAACCUGCCCCAUAGUCUGGGAUACCACUUGGAAACAGGUGCUAAUACCGGAUAAGAAAGCAGAUCGCAUGAUCAGCUUUUAAAAGGCGGCGUAAGCUGUCGCUAUGGGAUGGCCCCGCGGUGCAUUAGCUAGUUGGUAAGGUAAAGGCUUACCAAGGCGAUGAUGCAUAGCCGAGUUGAGAGACUGAUCGGCCACAUUGGGACUGAGAUACGGCCCAAACUCCUACGGGAGGCAGCAGUAGGGAAUCUUCCACAAUGGACGCAAGUCUGAUGGAGCAACGCCGCGUGAGUGAAGAAGGUUUUCGGAUCGUAAAGCUCUGUUGUUGGUGAAGAAGGAUAGAGGUAGUAACUGGCCUUUAUUUGACGGUAAUCAACCAGAAAGUCACGGCUAACUACGUG